This is a long non-coding RNA of Sander lucioperca (pikeperch), 100 nucleotides long. RefSeq lists it as uncharacterized. The record is from RefSeq and is a predicted model, not a curated record. The transcript has 4 exons. Lineage: Eukaryota; Metazoa; Chordata; Actinopteri; Perciformes; Percidae.
GAAAGGAGGUUGAUGAGAGGGUUGACUAGUGGUGUGCGAUACUGCCAAAUUUGGUAUUGAUCCAAUAUCAAGUAAAUACAGGGCCAGUAUCGCCGAUAUC